RNAcentral lists this ribosomal RNA (495 nucleotides) under uncultured bacterium. RNAcentral's name for it is "partial 16S ribosomal RNA". It matches the Rfam family "Bacterial small subunit ribosomal RNA", at positions 28 to 507 of the family's 1533-position model. The record is from RNAcentral.
GACGAACGCCGGCGGCGGGCCUAAUACAUGUAAGUAGGACGCUGAAGGAGGAGCUUGCUUCACUGGCUGACUUGCGAACGGGUGAGUAACGCGUAGGUAACCGGCCUGGUAGUGGGGGAUAACGAUUGGAAACGAUAGCUAAUACCGCAUAAUAGCAGUUGUUGCAUGAUAACUGUUUGAAAGGUGCAAUUGCACCGCUACCAGAUGGACCUGCGUUGUAUUAGCUAGUUGGUGGGGUAACGCCUCACCAAGGCCAGGUUACAUAGCCGACCUGAGAGGGUGAGCGGCCACACUGGGAAUGAGACACUGCCCAGACUCCUACGGGAGGCAGCAGUAGGGAAUCUUCUGCAAUGGACGGAAGUCUGACCGCGUAACGCCGCGUGAGUGAAGAAGGUUUUCGGAUCGUAAAGCUCUGUUGUAAGAGAAGAACGAGUGUGAGAGUGGAAAGUUCACACUGUGACGGUAUCUUACCAGAAAGGGACGGCUAACUACGUG